GAACUCAUGUUAAGGGUAGAUUCGGCAGCAUUGGUUAAGUUGUCAUUCUGGGAUAGGAAUGCGUGGCAGCAAGGAACUGUAUUGAAAACACCAAGUCAUCCAAUAACCAUUAGUAGAGUGACAAUUUUUGCUCAUUAGUAAUUAGGCUUAUUUCAAAUCAGCGUGGUAGCUUUUGAGGUUCCAAAGCCCAUGAGAAAGCUAGCCCUCCCCAUCAAUGCACUUGCUUAAUCUUUUCUCUAUCUUUAGUGUCAAAGUUCAUAUGAAACUGCUUUGCUGAAGUCUGAAGAGACUUAAUAGCAUUUUAACUCAAAAACCAAUCUUAAAUGUUUUCAUUUUUUAAAAUAUAUUAAUUCUGAUGGGGGCUUAUGAAAAGGGCUCCCAGAGAGUAUUUUAAUAUAAAAAAUAUACCAGAAUACUAAAAUGACACUUGUCCAGGGUUUUGUGCAGUUUCUCUGAUUGGUGAAAGUAAAUUAGCUUUUUCAAUAUCUGUCAAUAGUUGUGACCAAUAAUUCUGGAAUAUAGAUUAGAGCACAGCUACAUCUUGCUGUGUGACUGGACAGGUCAUCUUUCAACUGUAAUAAUUAUAAAGGUAGAAUGAAGCUGCUUACAUGUUUUUCUGAGAGUAUAGCGUAAAGCUUUUUUUAAAUUAUUUUCUUCCUCCCCCCACUUUAUUUUCAGUCAUUUAACAAUCUCAAGAGCUGAAGAAAAAGUGUCAAAAUAAAAUUUCAACAACUCCCCUCUAUGGCGGCCCCCCAUUAUUUUUUCCAUUUUCCAAGCAGCUCUGCAGUUCAGCUAUCAGUUAAGUCCAUGCAACAUUGUCUCUAAAGCAAGGGUGGGCCACAUCCGGCUCGCAGAACGAUCCUGCUCACCCCCAGCUCCUGGCCCGGGAGGCUCACCCCCGGCCCCUCCCCAAAUGUUCCCCCUCACCCACAGCUUCAAGUCACUCACUCCACCACUCUGGGCAGCAGGGCUGUGAGCUCCUAGGGCAGCAUAGCUACAGAGCCUAGCCUGACCCGGUGCUCCGUGCUGCAUGGUGGCACCACCGGUGGUGUGACCUGGCUCUAGCUGGGUGGUGGAGCUGUAGCACCACCAGGUACCGGUGGUCCAGGCAGCAUGUUGUCUCCAUUCCACUCAUCUUGCCCAUUGCAUCCGAUCUGGAGGAUAAGGUUACUACUGUUUCCGCCAGUGUGGAUCAUUCUGAACUCUUCAGGGACCAGGAUGACUUGAAGAGGGAGAGGUUCAUGAAGACAGAGCACUGGUCUUGGCAUCCUACUCCUGCUAAGUCAGCAUGUGCUGCCUCCUGCAGCAAGAGGACAUCGAAUGAAGGGAGAAAGGAGAUGGAGGCUGCAACAAAAACUGGACCAUUAUUGGUCAGAAUGAGUAUGAUAACUUGUCUCUGCAGAGUCUCAACAAAUAUCAACAGCUAUGCUGAUUUAUACCAUCUUCUAACUGUAGUUCUGGAAUGUUCAGAUCUCAUAUUUACUCCUUGCACUGCAUUAAAAUUCAUAUGGAUAAAAUAUCCCUAUGCGAUAAUGGAACUUUAAUGGCAUAGGAAGUAUUUGAGUUGCCUUAAAAUAGGUAAAAAGAUACAGCAGUAAUAAAUAGAGUUUCAUGCCUUCUUCCGGAAUGGUACAGCUGAUGUUUAGUAAAAUAUUUAAUGAUAGUUCCCCGCCGUCCCCCCCAAGAGGCCUGCUCACACAUUGUGGAGUCGAAGUCGAGAUUUUCUGAGUAUGAAAAUAUUUGUCUGGGUAUGUCAUUCAAAAUACUUCUGCCCCUGCAUAUAUACAGCACAUUUACAGUAAACAAUUACUAAUGUCUACAUACCAGCACACAAAUUGUAAUUUGCAUGUCUAGACUUUAUUAUAUUUGGUUGCAACAUACCCCAGACAUACAAAUCAAUGUAAAUUUACACUUCAUUAGAUCUUUUUCUUCUUCUCCAAGUAAAACCAGAAUUUAAAAAGAAAUGUAGCAUUUUAGUGCAGGCACAUAUUAACAUUUUUAUAGUGGUUAAGCAUUCUAUGAAGCAUAUCCAUUGCUUCACAAUCAGACCCUAUUUUACAAGUCACUGUCUACCUUUAACAUUUUGUAUGCAUCUUUUUCAGGCCUUCAACACUUGUACUCUGAGUGAGGUAUGACAUUGUUCUUGCAAUGAGGUAUGAUUCAGCAGCAGGGUUCUAACUCUCAAGUACAAAAAUUCAGUUCUACUCAAUGGAAUUGGGAAACCAACACAAAAAAAUAACCCAGCUCUUGAGAAUUAUCUGAUCCCAUAGACCCCAAAGAGGGAGGAAAUGCCUGUCCUGUCUGUCAAAUCUUUUAUCGAGUACCUUUUAUAAUGUGCAUUUCUGAAGCAAGAUAAUCUAAAUUUGAUCAGUUUACUUUACUUUGUGAAGGUGGGGGUUGAGUGGGAGAAGAGGAGUAGGUUUGGAUUUUGUUUCUAAGUA
Molecule: long non-coding RNA, 2441 nt
Organism: Mauremys mutica (yellowpond turtle)
Lineage: Eukaryota; Metazoa; Chordata; Testudines; Geoemydidae
Exons: 3
Source: RefSeq, a predicted model, not a curated record